AUCCUAGAAAAUCUUCGUAGUCCGGAUUGGAGUCUGCAACUCGACUCCAUGAGGUCGGAAUCGCUAGUAAUCGCGAAUCAGCAUGUCGCGGUGAAUACGUUCUCGGGUCUUGUACACACCGCCCGUCAUACCAUGGAAGUGGAUUGCACCAGAAGUAGAUAGUCUAACCUUAGGGAGGGCGUUUACCACGGUGUGCUUCAUGACUGGGGUAAAGUCGUAACAAGGUAGCCGUAGGGGAACCUGUGGCUGGAUCACCUCCUU
RNAcentral lists this ribosomal RNA (261 nucleotides) under uncultured SAR86 cluster bacterium. RNAcentral's name for it is "partial 16S ribosomal RNA". It matches the Rfam family "Bacterial small subunit ribosomal RNA", at positions 1271 to 1532 of the family's 1533-position model. Lineage: Bacteria; Pseudomonadati; Pseudomonadota; Gammaproteobacteria. The record is from RNAcentral.